GGCCUCCGAUCUAUUAGUUUGUUGGUGGGGUGAUGGCCAAGCAAGGGGUGGAUGGGUAGCCGGCGAGAGAGGCCGACCGCCCACAGAGGGAGUCAGACCCCAGCCUGAUUCGUGAGGGAGCCAGCAGUAGGGAAUAUCAAUCAAUGGGAGCAAGCCGCAGGCAGGGACGCCGAGUGAGGGAGGCCGUCCUUCGGUUAGUAUACUUCUUUCAGCAGGGAGGAAAAUAGACGGUACCUGUAGAAGAAGCACCGGCCAACUACGUGCCAGCAGCCGCGGUAAUACGUAGGGUGCGAGCGUUGUCCGGAAUUAUUGGGCGUAAAGAGCUCGUAGGCGGUCUGUCGCGUCGAAUGUGAAAACCCGGGGCUCAACUCCGGGCUUGCAUUCGAUACGGGCAGGCUAGAGUUCGGUAGGGGAGUCUGGAAUUCCUGGUGUAGCGGUGAAAUGCGCAGAUAUCAGGAGGAACACCGGUGGCGAAGGCGGGACUC
Molecule: ribosomal RNA, 485 nt
Filed under: uncultured bacterium
Lineage: Bacteria
Description: bacterial SSU rRNA
Rfam family: Bacterial small subunit ribosomal RNA
Source: RNAcentral